UAGGGAAUCUUCGGCAAUGGGGGGAACCCUGACCGAGCAACGCCGCGUGAGUGAAGAAGGUUUUCGGAUCGUAAAGCUCUGUUGUUAAGGAAGAACGAGUGUGAGAAUGGAAAGUUCAUGCUGUGACGGUACUUAACCAGAAAGGGACGGCUGACUACGUGCCAGCAGCCGCGGUAAUACGUAGGUCCCGAGCGUUGUCCGGAUUUAUUGGGCGUAAAGCGAGCGCAGGCGGUUAGAAAAGUCUGAAGUGAAAGGCAGUGGCUCAACCAUUGUAGGCUUUGGAAACUGUUUAACUUGAGUGCAGAAGGGGAGAGUGGAAUUCCAUGUGUAGCGGUGAAAUGCGUAGAUAUAUGGAGGAACACCGGUGGCGAAAGCGGCUCUCUGGUCUGUAACUGACGCUGAGGCUCGAAAGCGUGGGGAGCGAACAGG
This 429-nucleotide ribosomal RNA is filed under the name Bacteroidota bacterium. Its description in RNAcentral is "Bacteroidetes bacterium partial 16S ribosomal RNA". It matches the Rfam family "Bacterial small subunit ribosomal RNA", at positions 355 to 776 of the family's 1533-position model. The record is from RNAcentral. Lineage: Bacteria; Pseudomonadati; Bacteroidota.